UACAGAGGUCUCAAGCGUUGUUCGGAUUCAUUGGGCGUAAAGGGUGCGUAGGUGGCGCCGUAAGUCGGGUGUGAAAUUUCGGAGCUUAACUCCGAAACUGCAUUCGAUACUGCGGUGCUUGAGGACUGGAGAGGAGACUGGAAUUCAUGGUGUAGCAGUGAAAUGCGUAGAGAUCAUGAGGAAGACCAGUGGCGAAGGCGGGUCUCUGGACAGUCCUGACACUGAGGCACGAAGGCCAGGGGAGCAAACGGG
This 252-nucleotide ribosomal RNA is filed under the name uncultured bacterium. Its description in RNAcentral is "partial 16S ribosomal RNA". It matches the Rfam family "Bacterial small subunit ribosomal RNA", at positions 524 to 776 of the family's 1533-position model. The record is from RNAcentral.